GCGAGUAAAAUGCCCUGCGUGUGAGAAGCAGGCUCAGAUUAUUGCUACUCUGUAUUCAGAUCUGCAUGUGUUUCUUCUAAGCUGAAUAAAGCUGUUUUGGAACUGUCAGGUACCUCAAAGGAAUGUGCUGUAAAGAAGAGUUGUCAAUUGUGCACAGAAGAUAAGAAAUAUAUGAUGAAUAGAUAAUUGAAAAGAGAUCUUCCAGAAAGAGCAGAAGGAAGUUUCUUCAAUGGCUUCCUUCAGGAUUUUAAUCAUCCUUACAGCCUCUUUGAGAAUGAUUGAACUUCCAAAUUCCCUAAAGUUAAAAUUUUAAAUUCUAUUAAACAUUUUUUCGAGUA
RNAcentral lists this small RNA (338 nucleotides) under Pongo abelii (Sumatran orangutan). RNAcentral's name for it is "processed transcript". Lineage: Eukaryota; Metazoa; Chordata; Mammalia; Primates; Hominidae. The record is from RNAcentral.